RNAcentral lists this ribosomal RNA (741 nucleotides) under uncultured archaeon. Its description in RNAcentral is "bacterial SSU rRNA". It matches the Rfam family "Archaeal small subunit ribosomal RNA", at positions 118 to 860 of the family's 1478-position model. The record is from RNAcentral.
GGACGGGAAUAACCUCGGGAAACUGAGUAUAAUGCCCGAUAGAACACUAUACCUGGAAUGGUUUGUGUUCCAAAUGAUUUAUUGCCAUAGGAUGGGACUGCGGCCUAUCAGUUUGUUGGUGAGGUAAUGGCCCACCAAGACUAUUACAGGUACGGGCUCUGAGAGGAGUGGCCCGGAGAUGGGUACUGAGACACGGACCCAGGCCCUAUGGGGCGCAGCAGGCGAGAAAACUUUGCAAUGUGCGAAAGCACGACAAGGUUAAUCCGAGUGGUUUCUGCUAAAGGAACCUUUUGACAGUCCUAGAAACACUGUUGAAUAAGGGGUGGGCAAGUUCUGGUGUCAGCCGCCGCGGUAAAACCAGCACCUCAAGUGGUCAGGAUGAUUAUUGGGCCUAAAGCAUCCGUAGCCGGCUCUGUAAGUUUUCGGUUAAAUCUGUACGCUCAACGUACAGGCUGCUGGGAAUACUGCAGGGCUAGGGAGUGGGAGAGGUAGACGGUACUCGGUAGGAAGUGGUAAAAUGCUUUGAUCUAUCGAUGACCACCUGUGGCGAAGGCGGUCUACCAGAACACGUCCGACGGUGAGGGAUGAAAGCUGGGGGAGCAAACCGGAUUAGAUACCCGGGUAGUCCCAGCUGUAAACUAUGCAAACUCAAUGAUGCAUUGACUUGUGGUCAAUGCAGUGUUGCAGGGAAGCCGUUAAGUUUGCCGCCUGGGAAGUACGUACGCAAGUAUGAAACUUAAA